AUCUGGGCCAAGUUCAGGGCUGGUGCUCUCGUUCAGAUAGAUUUAGCUGGUGGUGCAGAGAUCCGUGAGCUUGCUUUUACAGGACUUUAAUGAUAUAUAAAAGCAGCACGAGGUGCUCCUGACUGUGGAUUAAUUUGGAGAUGACUUUCUCUGUUGAAGAGUAGCAAGACUCUCGCGAGUUCUUAAAAAUGCACUUGUUUGGUAUGAGAAUGAAAAGCAGUGGCUGAAGAACCAAUCUUCAAUGGGCAAGCCUUCUCUGUGUCUGUUCUAACACGUGCCAUUUGGGAUCCCUUGGAAUCUUCAUGUACAGAACUGGUUGCUGCCUCGUUGAGUCGGUGGGGACAGAAUAGCUCCUGGUUGACAGCAUGGGUUGUGCAGAAGGACGGAUCCUGCAGACAUCAAUAUCUGGCUUUGAGUGGCACAAAGAAAUAAAGGAAUGUGGAUUCAGACCUCACUGGGAUGCUUGGCAAUUCUAAUUCUACCCCAGACUGCAAAUGGACACACAACUGUUGUGACUUUUGUUGAAGAGGAGAAGGAUGGUGAAGGUCUCUUUAGUCAAUAAUCUCUUUGCUGAAAUUGCUUCGGGCAGCACAGAAGCUGGAUUCAGAAGCACACAGGUCUGGGGAUGCAGGCUUCGGCCAGCCUGAUGCAAGGAAAGACUGCCAUCUCGUGGUCAGCUCAAUCCUGGCACCUUGGUGAGGGACCAGGCUGCAGAAAACCAGGCUUGGGGAGGAAACGGUGCUGCAAACUGGAUUUCUGCCGGACAGUGUGGAUGCCCUUAGAAAACACCCAGAAAAGAGCUGAGUGCCCCCCAAGACUUGCCCUGAAUUCUUUCAUGUGCAAUAUCCGAAAACCCUCUCUUGGGGCCUGGAUCAGGACCCCUUUCCUAUAACAUCUUUCUGGCGACAACAAAGGGACAAUGGUGUGGAAUCCCCCUUCCCAAAUGCUACUUUUAGAUAUCACCUUUUGUCGGAACUUGGAGUUGGUAAUGACCUUCACCAUACCACCACUCUGGGACUGAGCUUCUCUCUACCCUGAUGCAAGAGACCCUAAUAGGCAGGAAUAUGACCACCCCUAUUCAGCCUGAAGAAGUUACAGAAGUUCUGAAACCCUUAGAAAUGAGGGUCUUCUUGUAAAGGGAGUGGGGAGAUAUAUCAGAGGCAUUUGAACCAGAGCAACUCCAUCUUGAGUGAGGGCUAGGAAAAUGAGGCUAGGACUUGCUGGGCUGCAUUCUCAGAAAGUCAGUCAUUCCUAGCCUCUAGAUGUUUACGGUUAAGGGAACAAAUUUAUAACAUUUACUAAACACACCCAGACUUGGGAGUGUCCAGAUAUCCCAAUAUCUGGAGAACAAAGGCAUUCCUAAUUUUGCUUUAAAGACAAUAAUAUUGAUUCUUGCAAAAUAUAGUAAUUAAGAAAAUUAAUCCUUUAUCACAAACCCUUGUAGUAAAACACAUCUCCCCAUAUAUACAAGCAUUGUACCUAAGGUGGAUGCGUUCCAUCUCUUACUUUCAGGAAUGUCCUACACUAUCUAA
This 1532-nucleotide long non-coding RNA is filed under the name Homo sapiens (human). RNAcentral's name for it is "HSALNT0399988". Lineage: Eukaryota; Metazoa; Chordata; Mammalia; Primates; Hominidae. The record is from RNAcentral.